This 219-nucleotide long non-coding RNA is filed under the name Elaeis guineensis (African oil palm). RNAcentral's name for it is "long non-coding RNA (EGUI_LNC039236)". Lineage: Eukaryota; Viridiplantae; Streptophyta; Magnoliopsida; Arecales; Arecaceae. The record is from RNAcentral.
CUCACUACUAUUUAUGGUGUUACAGAUCAUGAUCUCAAGCCUUUAUUUUGGGAUGAGCUUGUAAAGUCAGAUCGAUGUUUUCAGGCCCCUGGAUUGUCAGUGGUGACUUCAAUGCCACCAAAAAAUUAUUUGAGAGAAUCAAAAAUCCUUAACCUAGAAGGAUUACUCUUCGCCUCAAUUGCCUCAUUAAAGAUCUUUUGCUAAUUGAUCUUCCUCUUA